UUUCCGAAUGGGGAAACCCAGUGUGUUUCGACACACUAUCAUUAACUGAAUCCAUAGGUUAAUGAGGCGAACCGGGGGAACUGAAACAUCUAAGUACCCCGAGGAAAAGAAAUCAACCGAGAUUCCCCCAGUAGCGGCGAGCGAACGGGGAGGAGCCCAGAGCCUGAAUCAGUGUGUGUGUUAGUGGAAGCGUCUGGAAAGGCGUGCGAUACAGGGUGACAGCCCCGUACACAAAAAUGCACAUACUGUGAGCUCGAUGAGUAGGGCGGGACACGUGGUAUCCUGUCUGAAUAUGGGGGGACCAUCCUCCAAGGCUAAAUACUCCUGACUGACCGAUAGUGAACCAGUACCGUGAGGGAAAGGCGAAAAGAACCCCGGCGAGGGGAGUGAAAAAGAACCUGAAACCGUGUACGUACAAGCAGUGGGAGCCUCUUUAUGGGGUGACUGCGUACCUUUUGUAUAAUGGGUCAGCGACUUAUAUUCUGUAGCAAGGUUAACCGAAUAGGGGAGCCGAAGGGAAACCGAGUCUUAACUGGGCGUUAAGUUGCAGGGUAUAGACCCGAAACCCGGUGAUCUAGCCAUGGGCAGGUUGAAGGUUGGGUAACACUAACUGGAGGACCGAACCGACUAAUGUUGAAAAAUUAGCGGAUGACUUGUGGCUGGGGGUGAAAGGCCAAUCAAACCGGGAGAUAGCUGGUUCUCCCCGAAAGCUAUUUAGGUAGCGCCUCGUGAAUUCAUCUCCGGGGGUAGAGCACUGUUUCGGCAAGGGGGUCAUCCCGACUUACCAACCCGAUGCAAACUGCGAAUACCGGAGAAUGUUAUCACGGGAGACACACGGCGGGUGCUAACGUCCGUCGUGAAGAGGGAAACAACCCAGACCGCCAGCUAAGGUCCCAAAGUCAUGGUUAAGUGGGAAACGAUGUGGGAAGGCCCAGACAGCCAGGAUGUUGGCUUAGAAGCAGCCAUCAUUUAAAGAAAGCGUAAUAGCUCACUGGUCGAGUCGGCCUGCGCGGAAGAUGUAACGGGGCUAAACCAUG
Molecule: ribosomal RNA, 1037 nt
Filed under: Escherichia coli
Lineage: Bacteria; Pseudomonadati; Pseudomonadota; Gammaproteobacteria; Enterobacterales; Enterobacteriaceae
Description: partial 23S ribosomal RNA
Rfam family: Bacterial large subunit ribosomal RNA
Source: RNAcentral